Oxyura jamaicensis (ruddy duck) is the source of this 298-nucleotide long non-coding RNA. RefSeq lists it as uncharacterized. The transcript is spliced from 2 exons. The record is from RefSeq and is a predicted model, not a curated record. Lineage: Eukaryota; Metazoa; Chordata; Aves; Anseriformes; Anatidae.
CUGGACUGACAAGACUCUCAAGGAGGAGGAGAAGAAUGAAUGGUCUUCAGAGUGCCUGAAGAAAGAAUUCUUGACCUCCCAGCUUGCUGUGAGCUAGCUUGAUAAAUGAGAAGCUACUAGUAUAUACAAAGAGCUGUCUGAAGUUGAAGCCAGCAUCCUCUUCACAGCUUGUGGCCUUUUCACAUCCCAGUUAGGUCCACUCGCUAAGCAUUGGGACAUGAAAAUUUCAUCCACCUGCACAGCAGUGGAAAAAAUUACCAAAUGGGAACAUGGACAUGGACUUUGAACAUGGUGCCAA